CUGUGCCAGGUUUUUGAUACCGGGGCGCAUGAGCAACGUCAACCUGAGGAGCAGAGACAUGAAACUCGGCCACCAUGGAGCACUUGGCCGCUGUGCUGUUUCACAGUGGCCAGCCUGACAGAAAGAACCUAGAAACUACCUCUACAAGGAGACUCCAGCACUCCAGAACCCGGUAACAUGGUGACGCGGAUAUAAGGAUGAUAUUGGACCUCUGAAAAACCAAAUGAUAUAAUGGAAAUAACAUAACUCCCAACCUCCUA
This is a long non-coding RNA of Cavia porcellus (domestic guinea pig), 260 nucleotides long. RefSeq lists it as uncharacterized. The transcript has 2 exons. Lineage: Eukaryota; Metazoa; Chordata; Mammalia; Rodentia; Caviidae. The record is from RefSeq and is a predicted model, not a curated record.